GGACUGGCGGUGCUAUACAUGCAAGUCGAGCGGACAGAUGGGAGCUUGCUCCCUGAUGUUAGCGGCGGACGGGUGAGUAACACGUGGGUAACCUGCCUGUAAGACUGGGAUAACUCCGGGAAACCGGGGCUAAUACCGGAUGGUUGUUUGAACCGCAUGGUUCAGACAUAAAAGGUGGCUUCGGCUACCACUUACAGAUGGACCCGCGGCGCAUUAGCUAGUUGGUGAGGUAACGGCUCACCAAGGCGACGAUGCGUAGCCGACCUGAGAGGGUGAUCGGCCACACUGGGACUGAGACACGGCCCAGACUCCUACGGGAGGCAGCAGUAGGGAAUCUUCCGCAAUGGACGAAAGUCUGACGGAGCAACGCCGCGUGAGUGAUGAAGGUUUUCGGAUCGUAAAGCUCUGUUGUUAGGGAAGAACAAGUGCCGUUCAAAUAGGGCGGCACCUUGACGGUACCUAACCAGAAAGCCACGGCUAACUACGUGCCAGCAGCCGCGGUAAUACGUAGGUGGCAAGCGUUGUCCGGAAUUAUUGGGCGUAAAGGGCUCGCAGGCGGUUUCUUAAGUCUGAUGUGAAAGCCCCCGGCUCAACCGGGGAGGGUCAUUGGAAACUGGGGAACUUGAGUGCAGAAGAGGAGAGUGGAAUUCCACGUGUAGCGGUGAAAUGCGUAGAGAUGUGGAGGAACACCAGUGGCGAAGGCGACUCUCUGGUCUGUAACUGACGCUGAGGAGCGAAAGAGUGGGGAGCGAACAGGAUUAGAUACCCUGGUAGUCCACGCCGUAAACGAUGAGUGCUAAGUGUUAGGGGGUUUCCGCCCCUUAGUGCUGCAGCUAACGCAUUAAGCACUCCGCCUGGGGAGUACGGUCGCAAGACUGAAACUCAAAGGAAUUGACGGGGGCCCGCACAAGCGGUGGAGCAUGUGGUUUAAUUUGAAGCAACGCGAAGAACCUUACCAGGUCUUGACAUCCUCUGACAAUCCUAGAGAUAGGACGUCCCCUUCGGGGGCAGAGUGACAGGUGGUGCAUGGUUGUCGUCAGCUCGUGUCGUGAGAUGUUGGGUUAAGUCCCGCAACGAGCGCAACCCUUGAUUUUAGUUGCCAGCAUUCAGUUGGGCACUCUAAGGUGACUGCCGGUGACAAACCGGAGGAAGGUGGGGAUGACGUCAAAUCAUCAUGCCCCUUAUGACCUGGGCUACACACGUGCUACAAUGGACAGAACAAAGGGCAGCGAAACCGCGAGGUUAAGCCAAUCCCACAAAUCUGUUUUCAGUUCGGAUCGCAGUCUGCAACUCGACUGCGUGAAGCUGGAAUCGCUAGUAAUCGCGGAUCAGCAUGCCGCGGUGAAUACGUUCCCGGGCCUUGUACACACCGCCCGUCACACCACGAGAGUUUGUAACACCCGAAGUCGGUGAGGUAACCUUU
RNAcentral lists this ribosomal RNA (1423 nucleotides) under Bacillus velezensis. Its description in RNAcentral is "bacterial SSU rRNA". It matches the Rfam family "Bacterial small subunit ribosomal RNA". Lineage: Bacteria; Bacillati; Bacillota; Bacilli; Caryophanales; Bacillaceae. The record is from RNAcentral.